UGGUUCUGGCAUCGAUGAAGAACGCAGCGAAAUGCGAUAAGUAAUGUGAAUUGCAGAAUUCAACGAAUCAUCGAAUCUUUGAACGCAUAUUGCGCCCAUUAGUUUUCUAGUGAGCAUGCCUGUUCGAGCGUCAUUUCAACCCUCAAGCCUUUUCGGUUUGGUAUUGGGGCUAUCUGUUUAGUACAGGCCCUGAAAGAUAUCGGCGAGCCCGUUGUAAAUCCUAGCGUAGUAGAUUAUUCUUUUCGCUUAGGAGUUUACAGUAGGAAUUUUAGCCGUUAAAACUAUCAAUUUUUUAAGGUUGACCUCGGAUCAGGUAGGAAUACCCGCUGA
RNAcentral lists this unclassified non-coding RNA (330 nucleotides) under uncultured fungus. Its description in RNAcentral is "partial contains 5.8S ribosomal RNA and internal transcribed spacer 2". The stretch from base 1 to 133 matches the Rfam family "5.8S ribosomal RNA", at positions 22 to 154 of the family's 154-position model. Lineage: Eukaryota; Fungi. The record is from RNAcentral.